GCAAACUAUUCGAAAGAAUAAGGCGCAAAACCACAGGCCUUUAAAAUGGUAGCUGGGUUACUGAA
This 65-nucleotide non-coding RNA is filed under the name unclassified sequences. RNAcentral's name for it is "c-di-GMP sequence". It matches the Rfam family "c-di-GMP-I riboswitch aptamer", at positions 12 to 87 of the family's 87-position model. From Rfam's summary of the family: GEMM was predicted in a large-scale screen for bacterial structured RNA regulatory elements. Genes associated with GEMM are involved in a diverse array of functions, including chemotaxis regulation, signal transduction, secretion and chitin. The record is from RNAcentral.